RNAcentral lists this ribosomal RNA (253 nucleotides) under uncultured cyanobacterium. RNAcentral describes it as "partial 16S ribosomal RNA". It matches the Rfam family "Bacterial small subunit ribosomal RNA", at positions 524 to 776 of the family's 1533-position model. Lineage: Bacteria; Bacillati; Cyanobacteriota. The record is from RNAcentral.
UACGGAGGAUGCAAGCGUUAUCCGGAAUCAUUGGGCGUAAAGCGUCCGCAGGUGGCGUAUCAAGUCUGCUGUCAAAGACAGAAGCUCAACUUCUGGCAGGCAGUGGAAACUGGUAAGCUAGAGUACGGUAGGGGUUGAGGGAAUUCCCAGUGUAGCGGUGAAAUGCGUAGAUAUUGGGAAGAACACCAGUGGCGAAGGCGCUCAGCUGGGCCGUAACUGACACUGAGGGACGAAAGCUAGGGGAGCGAAAGGG